UGAAGGUUUAAAUUGCCGCAGUAUUUUGACUGUGCAAAGGUAGCAUAAUAAUUAGUUUCUUAAUUAGAAGCUGGAAUGAAUGAUUGGACGAGAAAAUUUCUGUCUCUAUUUAAUUGUUUGUUGAAUUUUAUUUUUAAGUUAAAAAGCUUAAAUGUUUGUAAAAGACGAGAAGACCCUAUAGAGUUUAAUAUUUCAAUUUUAUUUGAUUAUAGUAUUCUUUUUGAGUUUGGAGUAUUUAAUUGGGGUGAUUUAAAGAUUUAAAUAAUUCUUUAAUUUUUUAAUUGAUGAUAGUUAAAUUUUAAAUCUAUAAUUUUAAGUUUAAUAUAAAUUACCUUAGGGAUAACAGCGUAAUUUUUCUUUAAAGCUCUUAUUAAAAGAAGAUUUUGCGACCUCGAUGUUGGAUUAAAAUUAAUUUUUGGUGCAGUAACUUAAAAAUUGGGUCUGUUCGACCUUUAAAAUUUUACAUGAUCUGAGUUUAAACCGGUGUAAGCCAGGUUGGAUUCUAUCUUUAAAUAUUUUUUAUAUUUUAGUACGAAAGGACCAAAUAUAGAUUAUAAUAAUUG
This 563-nucleotide ribosomal RNA is filed under the name Lipernes sp. UPOL LF0318. RNAcentral describes it as "partial 16S large subunit ribosomal RNA". It matches the Rfam family "Bacterial large subunit ribosomal RNA", at positions 1913 to 2714 of the family's 2925-position model. Lineage: Eukaryota; Metazoa; Arthropoda; Insecta; Coleoptera; Lycidae. The record is from RNAcentral.